UCUUCUAUUGCUAGUGUCUGUGUAUCCUCUCAAAGCAAUUGAAGUUAAAAGCAAUUCAACAGAGUGAAAAUGCAGAGCGGGAAGAAUGCAGUGGGGGCUGCGAAGGAAUCGGCAGCCAACGUAACCGCGUCCGCUAAGGCUGGCAUGGAGAAGACCAAGGCCUCCCUAACGGGGGCUGGGGCUGGCACUGGCACUGGCACUGGCACUGGCACUUGCACUGAUACAGGCACAGGCACAGGCACAGGCCAUCCCACCGGAACCAACCCGAUUUCAUCAGCCUUGCCUGGACAUGGCGCUGGCCAGCAUGUGGUGGGGUCGCAACCCACUGGCACGGGCACUGGCACUGGUGGCACAGGAAGAACCGACAAAUACUAAGUUUAAUGUAUUUGUACUGUGUUUUUUUUUUACUCCGUCUGUGUGUGUUUUUCCCGCAUUUAAGGUGUGUUUUCUGGCUGACCUUACAUGCUAUUAUGCUAACGUUGUAGUUGGGUGUUCCGACGUUUGAAGUAGAAUAAUAUGAUAUGCAUGGGUUUGUAAUGCUAUAUUACACCACAAUCUCACUACUAUAUUGACAACUGACAAGGGUAGAUUGAUAAUUUAUUCCACAAAUUCUCUAUUACGAUUCGUUGCUUAAAAUGAAAAAAAUAUGAUCAUUUUUAGCUUUUAAAUAUUCUAGCAAAGGAUUAAAGAAUAGAGGACAAUGACAUCCUUGGAUAUUAUGUAUACUGGAGCUUUUACUAAAACGUAGUAAAGUUUGUUUCCAAAUUUUGGCGGGCAAAAUCGAUCUAGUUAAGUCCAGAAGUUGCGAAAUGGCUUCUCUCUCUUUUUCAUGCUCAACUGAUCAAGCAGGGUGUUUUUUCUGUUCAAGCAGCGGUGUUCCAUGGCUCUGAUGGCAGAAUUAUCAAGGCUAUUUCUCAUAUUAGCUCCCUUGUUUUCCCGCCUAUGGGGAGCCACUACAGGCAUUUUUGAUGGCUUCCUUGACAGUCACCCUAAAGCUUCCUUCCAGUUUUCAUUUUAGAAGGCGACUCUCCAAUGGUUAUUAUAAGAUAGCUAAAAUUUCAAAAGUGUGAAUUUUACUCAUUCACCCCUCUCUCUCUAUGAUUAUAUCCCAAUUAGUAAAUUGUGAAAGAUUCGUAUGGUUGUUUGCUUUUAAUGUACUUUAGAAAAAGAAGAAAAAAAAAGUCCAAACCUGUGCCUAUAUACUAACGUUAUCGGAUAUUUAUACGAUACUUGUUAAUUCUAUUUCGGGUCGUGUGGACCCUAAUUCGAUCUAUUUAAAUAAAUAAUUUAAAUUUAUCGACCUUAAGCCUUUAGUUUCGUAAAAAAAAUUUGAGCAACUUUAUGGGAUGUUUUAUAGGAUAAGAUAUUUGUUAGAUAUGUAUAGGAUAUUGUCGACUCUGAGUUGAAAGGAGAUAAGGGCGGGUUAAAUGAUGACCAUCCAACGGACACAAUACUCGUAGCAAUUACUUCCCCUUUCAUGGCAGAGAAACGGACAAGAGAGCAAUUACUCCCCCCCUUCGCGGCAGAUAGAGAAUGAAAAUAUCUCCGUGACGCGUCCGUGAUGUCACAUAAGAAGAACCCCGAACGUUCUGUAGAGUUGCCACGUGUCUCCACGUGAGAGGUCCUGAAAGCCUAUUUAAUCAGGAGCCAGUAACAAGCUUUUCCAUUGCUAGUGUGUGUAUCCUCAAAGCAAUUAAACAGAGAAGAGAAGAAGAGAAAAAUAGUGAAAAUGGACGCAGGGAAGGAAACGGCAGCCAACUUAACGGCCUCCGCUAAGGCUGGCUUGGAGAAGACCAAGGCCACCAUAGAUGAGAAGUUGGAACUGAUGAAAGCCAAAGAUCCAGCGCAGAAAGAAGUGGCGACCAAAAAGAAGGAGGAGAGGUUCACUCAAGCUAGUCACGAAGAGAAGGAGGCGCAUGCCCGCAACGCCGCUACCAAAGAGGCGGGAAAGGCUGGCAAUCCCACCGGAAUCCACCCGACGUCAGGCUUGCCUGGACAGGGCACCGGCCACUGAUGACUGACCCAAUGUGUGGUGGGGUCGCACCACGUUGUGACCCACACCGGCACCGGCAGUACUGGAAGGACCAACAUAUCUCAUUAUUAUUGUUCGAUCUAUGCUUGUUUUCUUAUUUUCUCCGUCUGUGUUUUGUGUUUCCCGCAUUUAAGGUCUGUGUUCUGGAUGACCUUACUUGCUAGUUGACCUUGUAGUUGGGUGUUCGUUCCAUUUGAAUAAGAAAACAAUGAUCAUGAAAUGUUGAAAAGUGCA
Molecule: non-coding RNA, 2266 nt
Organism: Corylus avellana
Lineage: Eukaryota; Viridiplantae; Streptophyta; Magnoliopsida; Fagales; Betulaceae
Source: RefSeq, a predicted model, not a curated record